UUUGGUCUUAUGGCUUUUUCCAGAAGCUUCCCAUUCUCUCUCUGUAUCGGUUCCUGUUCAUCUUCAUCGUUUCUGAUUUUCAUCUUCAAAUCCUCAUGUUUUCAUGGUAUCAGAGCGGGAAAAUCUUCCGAUCCUUCUCUGUUACGUGUUAUCAAUACUUGAUGAAGCUUUCGCUGAAGUUUUUCUUCGGUUAUCUGAGAAAAAAAUACUCUUCGUAUAUUUUUUCUUGAUGAAUGAUAAUCGGUUAAUCGGGAAUUUUCUGACUGUUUGAGGCUCCGAUCCUGUAUCAGUAGAUGUUUUGGGUGAUUUUCCGACAUCUCUGACUUUGUUCCGACGAGUUCUUCAAAUUCUAGUGUUUUCCGACUUUCGGACCUAGAGUUUUGGGGUUGUCCGAUGAAUUUCUCUUCGCUUGAUGGACGUUUUGGGUAACUUUCCGGCGUCUGUGACCUUAUUUCGGUGAGUUUCAGAACCUAGGGUUUCCGGUGUUGGACCUAGGGUUUUCUCUGUUGAUUGAAGGCCGAUCUUCUCCGGNNNNNNNNNNNNNNNNNNNNNNNNNUUCUGUGUGUGCUUUCUCUGAUUUCUAGAGUUUUGGGGUUGUUCGAUGACUUUCUCUUCGCUUGAUGGACGCUUUGGGUAACUUUCCGGCGUCUUUGACCUUAUUUCGGUGAGUUUCAGAACCUAGGGUUUCCGGUGUUGGACCUAGGGUUUUCUCUGUUGAUUGAAGGCCGAUCUUCUCCGGUCGCGAAGAAGAAGGGUAAC
RNAcentral lists this long non-coding RNA (759 nucleotides) under Nicotiana benthamiana. RNAcentral's name for it is "long non-coding RNA (NBEN_LNC013657)". Lineage: Eukaryota; Viridiplantae; Streptophyta; Magnoliopsida; Solanales; Solanaceae. The record is from RNAcentral.